GACCUAAUAACUACCACAUUUACAGGAAGUAUGGUAAUACAUUCUUGUCAGCUGUCUGGGCAAAUCUUCUCUCGCAGAAUUGGAUUAAAAUUUAAUGUAUUUUAUUUCUCACUUCCAACGAUGUCGCAAUUAUUAGGCAGCUAUCAAGUCUCAAGAUAUGACAUAAUUUGAUAGAAUGUUAGUACCAACGCUAUCAGUGCAUUGAAGUCGAGUUCUCGAUACAGGGAGCUGCUGGUAAACUACCGUCGCUAUACAUCGACUAUGACUACAAUCCUACUUUUAAAAACAAACUACAUACAUAUCUCACAUUUGCGAGGACUACUUCAUCACAAGCAAAAAAUCGACAUUGGUAAAUAAAGGUCUGUCUUCUAUAACCACGAUGAAAAGAAAAGCUGGGCGAAAACAUUUGAGACUGCAGAUUGCAGAACUGGAACACUCUAUUUGAAGACAGUGGCUGCUGAGUGCUGAGCUGCAUCAAAUCUAUCAGCAUCAUGUAACUUCGAUCAGGAACAGACUCCAUUUCAUUUCCGACAACUAGCACCUGUUUUCCCUAGACUUACCAAGUAUUAAGUAACUGCAUUAGUAUUAGGUUAAAUUAAAGGCCCUACAUCGAACAAGUCUAACAAUUAAAACUUAAAUGCAAGAGUGCACAAUUUAUCACUAAAUAUCUUCCUCUUUUAAUUCUAAUCAACACACGGUUUCGUCUUUGUUUCACCCAAUCGUGCUGAUAAUCAGUAAUCAUGCACUCUGCACUCUAACUUCGAGAUGUUUCAAAAGGGCUCCCGACGAGUUGAAUUAGAUCAAUAUUUUCUUUUGAUACAUAGAUACUGAUUGGGAGGUUCAUCAUACUAUUCUUGUCACAUGGUAACGAUUAACGAUUAGCUGAUCAGCUUCCAGCAUCGACAGGCCGAAAUCCAUAAAUAUAAUCAGUUGUAAUUUAAUAUUUAUCAUCGUCCGGAUCAUCAUAAUAUUUCAAUUUAAAGUUACAAUUGAACGGUGUUAAGAAAGAUAAUUUAAGAGAAAUGUUUUGAAAGUGCCUGAUUUCGAGUAUAAGAUCUGUACUGAUACAUUAAUUUUCAGAUUGUUAUUAUAGUUUAUUUGUAUUUUUUAUAUUAUCUUAUCCGCACAAGUUCGGAAGCCAUCUGAACGCUAUUGCCAGACACAGGCAUAUAUUUAUUUUGGGGUAUCAUGCUCUCAGAAAUUUCAACUCAGUCCGAUAUUAUAGUUAUACUAACCUGCAUUGCAUAAGGUUAAUUGUCUCGCAGUCUAGUGCAUAAACCUUUUAUUUUGUAUAAACCCUUUAUUUUGAUUGGGAAAACUUUAGUUUAAUGUGGUUACCGUCUCUAAAGUUGGCAUGAUAGUUAAUAAACUCUUAUCUAUUAUGUCACUGAAGAUGACGCCUUGCAACAUGUUUGACGAUAGCCUGUAGAUUGAUAGUUUGAUCUAAGUAUUUACAACAAUUCAUCUAGUUUGAUUGAUUCAAAGGGAAACAAAUUCCUCUCUUAUCUAUUAUGACUAUAUUUAAAUUCAAUCCUGUAAAGUGAUACUCCUUUUUUAGUAAUUUAAA
Bolinopsis microptera is the source of this 1567-nucleotide long non-coding RNA. RefSeq lists it as uncharacterized. The transcript has 4 exons. The record is from RefSeq and is a predicted model, not a curated record. Lineage: Eukaryota; Metazoa; Ctenophora; Tentaculata; Lobata; Bolinopsidae.